This 408-nucleotide ribosomal RNA is filed under the name uncultured bacterium. RNAcentral's name for it is "partial 16S ribosomal RNA". It matches the Rfam family "Bacterial small subunit ribosomal RNA", at positions 28 to 526 of the family's 1533-position model. The record is from RNAcentral.
GACGAACGCUGGCGGCGUGCUUAACACAUGCAAGUCGAACGGAGUGGCGAACGGGUGAGUAACACGUGGGUGACCUGCCCUUCACUUCGGGAUAAGCCUGGGGAACUGGGUCUAAUACCGGGUAGUGUGGGAUGUGGCCGCGGCCGAUCAGCUUGUUGGUGGGGUAAUGGCCUACCAAGGCGGCGACGGGUUGCCGGCCUGAGAGGGUGUACGGCAACAGUGGGACUGGGACACGGCCCAGACUCGUACGGGAGGCAGCAGUGGGGAAUAUUGCACAAUGGGCGGAAGCCUGAUGCAGCGACGCCGCGUGGGGGAGGACGGCCUUCGGGUUGUAAACUCCUUUCACCAGCGACGCGGUAGAUGGAGAAGAAGCACCGGCUAACUUCGUGCCAGCAGCCGCGGUAAUAC